This 407-nucleotide ribosomal RNA is filed under the name uncultured bacterium. RNAcentral's name for it is "partial 16S ribosomal RNA". It matches the Rfam family "Bacterial small subunit ribosomal RNA", at positions 30 to 526 of the family's 1533-position model. The record is from RNAcentral.
AUCGAACGCUGGCGGCAUGCCUAACACAUGCAAGUCGAGCGGAGCGGCGGACGGGUGAGUAAUGCCUAGGAAUCUGCCUGGUAGUUGGGGACAACGUUCGGAAACGGGCCCUAUUACCGCAGACUAUCAGAGUGGCCUCGGGUGGCUUGGCUAGUUGGUGGGGUAAAGGCCUACCAAGGCGACGAUGCGUAACUGGUCUGAGAGGAUGAUCAGUCACACUGGAACUGAGACACGGCCCAGACUCCUCCGGGAGGAAGCAGUGGGGAAUAUUGGGCAAUGGGCGAAAGCCUGAUCCAGCAAUGCCGCGUGUGUGAAGAAGGUCUUCGGAUUGUAAAGCACUUUUAGUUGGGAGGCGUUACCAACAGAAUAAGCACCGGCUAACUACGUGCCAGCAGCCGCGGUAAUAC